This 775-nucleotide ribosomal RNA is filed under the name uncultured Neocallimastigales. Its description in RNAcentral is "partial large subunit ribosomal RNA". It matches the Rfam family "Eukaryotic large subunit ribosomal RNA", at positions 24 to 643 of the family's 3401-position model. The record is from RNAcentral. Lineage: Eukaryota; Fungi; Neocallimastigomycota; Neocallimastigomycetes; Neocallimastigales.
UAUGUGAUCGUCUCUCGCAUAUCAAUAAGCGGAGGAAAAGAAACUAACAAGGAUUCCCCUAGUAACGGCGAGUGGAGCGGGAAGAGCUCAAAUUUGAAAUCUUAAAGGGUUUCCCUUUACGAAUUGUAGUUUAAAGAAGUGUUUUCUGUUGAGGUUUUGGUAAAAGUUCUUUGGAAUAGGACAUCAUAGAGGGUGAGAAUCCCGUAUUUGACCUUUACUUUCAACUUUGUGAUACACUUUCAAAGAGUCGGAUUGUUUGGGAAUGCAGUCCAAAAUGGGUGGUAAAUUUCAUCUAAAGCUAAAUAUUGGCGAGAGACCGAUAGCGAACAAGUACCGUGAGGGAAAGAUGAAAAGAACUUUGAAAAGAGAGUUAAACAGUACGUGAAAUUGUCAAAAGGGGAAGCGUUUGACACCAGUGUUGUUUUUCUGAAAAUCAAUUAAAGAACUGUUUAUGCUAAGUUGUUUAGACUUUAUCAGCUAUCUGUUUAGUUUUGAGCUUUUCUUUAAUGCACUUUUCAGUUAACAAGUCAACAUCAAUUUCUUUUGCUGUAAAAAAGCUUGAGGAAGGUGGCUUGAGAUUCGUCUUAAGUGUUUAUAGCCUCUUGCCUAUGCAGUCGGAGAGAUUGAGGUCUGCAGCGUAGAUCCUUCGGGGCUAAAUGCAUUUGUGCUAAGUUAUAGCAUUUUAUAGACAACUUGUUGACUAUGAUUUGUACUUGUAGCUUACUCGCUUAUGUUAUUUUACCUACGCUUAGGAUGUUGACUGAUAUGUAGUCGU